Molecule: unclassified non-coding RNA, 2212 nt
Filed under: Octopus sinensis (East Asian common octopus)
Lineage: Eukaryota; Metazoa; Mollusca; Cephalopoda; Octopoda; Octopodidae
Description: a disintegrin and metalloproteinase with thrombospondin motifs 12-like, transcript variant X2
Source: RNAcentral
CUAUAAAAACGCCACAUACUCCAUAUCAGUGCAUUUCUGAACGCAUUGUGCGUUUCUAAACUUAUAAAUUAUUUAUUCUGUUGUUUAUAACCGAUGCCACACAAUGUUACCAUUGAUAUUUUUACUCUCUACUGUUUUGCUCGUGGCCCCUGUUCAGCCAAAACCAAUUCACAACUUGAAUGAACCUCAUCUUAAAGCGGCCAAACGUAUCGGAUUCCUCGAAGAUGCUUUUGAACGACUUCAUUUGACUGAAUUAUCGGAAAUUCUUGAUGGCGGUAUCCACCAUCCUUUGAAUAUCAGUAGAAUCAAAGAAAGACAAGGCAGUCAGGUGGAAACAAUCCUACAUAUUCCUCUUGCUGAGUUGCAACUGAAAUUAUCAUUAAAGCAUCCAGAACAAAUAUUACAUGAAAAUGCAAAGAUCGUGGUUUCGAAUGGAGAGGAAGAGCAACACUUUAUAGUGGAACCAAGAAACUGUUAUCUGGUCGGUCGUAUCGAUGGCUAUAGUGGCAGUGCGUCAUUGUCUUACUGUAACGGUUUGAGAGGAUCAGUGGUGCUUGGUGAUACUGAAUACACUUUGGAACCAGUGGAUGAUGGAGCAAGACAUAUUGUUGGUGAACAUCGAAAGCAAGACAAGCAUUCAUUUGUGGAUAAAGUUAACGAAGCCUAUGCUUUUGAAGAUGACAAACGUGUGGUGACUGUUGAGAUGGCGUUGUACAACGAUGCAGAGAUGACCAAGAUGUUAGAUGCAAAAGGAUUUGACACCCUUCACAAGAAAAUCGAUUACAUCGUAUCAAAGUUUAAUGGGGUGCAAUAUGAAUACACAAAAAUUAAACAACUCAGACAUAAAGUGGUGUUUCAAAUUAAAAAAAUGGAAUUUUGGACAAAGAAUCCGAGCUGGUUUUUGGUGUCGAACAAACUGAACUCGAUGUUAAGUUCCCUUUGUAAAUGGAACGCAGACAAAGAACCUUUUGAUCUCGUUUAUCUCAUUACAGGGCAUAGACCAAUCUAUCCCAUUGGACUUGCAUUUGUAGGUGGAGCAUGCAGGCCAAAAUCUCGAUGUGGUGUUUCUAUGGGAACAGCAUGGGGAAGAUACGUUGCCAUCGCUCACGAAAUAGGACACAUUUUGGGGAUGCCUCAUGAUGCCAAUACUCCGUGUAGUUCAUACCCGAGUGUCCACAAAGGAUUGAUGGGUGGCAAAGGAACAGAUUUCAGCAAUUGUUCUGCAGAAAGAUUUGAAAAGAAAAUCUUAAGCAAAAGUGGGCACUGUCUCUUUGUACAAAAUAUUCCAGACGAUAAAGUCCCAAAAGAACUUAAAGGUCUCGUUCUUAAAGGUCUUCCAGAAGUGAUCAAUGUCACUCAUCAUGAAUAUUGUGAGAAAAAUGCCGGCAUAGGCUUUCGUUACCGCGAAAAGGAAAACUUGAAGUAUUCUUGCAAUAGCGGAUACUACUGUGUUAAACUGAAAGAAGGACCUGGGUUUGGUUUGAUAACUAGAGAAUCUGCACAAGGUAUUGUCGGAACGUAUUGCGCCCCAGGAAAGGUUUGUUUAAAGAAACAAUGUCUAACCUACAAACUGAUGCAUCUGACCAAACCCUGGAUUGUUCGUGCUGGUGGAUGGGGAGACUGGUCAUCUUAUACCAAAUGCAGCCGAACUUGUGGCACCGGAGUGCAGUUUUCAUUCCGCGAUUGUAACAAUCCUAAACCCAUCCAAUCAAAAUAUUGUGACGGUAGUGAAUACAAAGCUAAAUUAUGUAAUGAACAACCAUGUCCUAGUGAUCCAAGCUCUUACGAUGCUAUAAGGAAAACCAGAGCUGGUGAAACUUGCAAACGCUUGAUCAACGAUGGUUCAUUAAACGCUACAAUAUAUAAGCCAACUGGAAGGGCUUAUGGUGGUAAAGGUUACAACGACGAUUGCGAUGUUCACUGCGACAACAGCAAGCAUAGAAACAGCCGUAACGCUAUCUUACCUGACGGGACGCCAUGUAAACAUCCUGAUCCGGAAUUCAAUGUAGCUGGUGCGGCUAACUUAAAGCUGCACUGUUUCAGAGGAAAGUGUCAGGCAUUUGGAUGCGAUUCCAGAUUUCCAGCGCAACAUCAUGGCAAUGAUCCUCUUUGCAGUGUACCAGUGAGUUUAAAAUAAACGCAUGCAAAAUUGCUAGGAACAGCAAAGAAGAGAAAAGGAAGAGAGAGAGGGAAAGAAAGAAAGAGAGAGAGA